GAAACAGGCAGUGCCCAGAGAGAGAAGCACAGGUCCACGCAGGCAGCCAAAGCCAUCUUCUUGGUUGAAAGAUACUCUUUUCGGGGGGAGGAGCCAAGAUGGCCGAGUAGGAACAGCUCCGGUCUACAGCUCCCAGCGUGAGCGACAAAGAAGACGGGUGAUUUCUGCAUUUGCAUCUGAGGAAUAAUGAUUGAGCACCAGAAACAGACAAGCGAGGUCCUGGGAAUAGAGCAUAAACACAGGAAAAGCAAACUCCAUUCUGGCUUGGGGGGACCUUGACUAAGCUUUGACAAAUGUGCACAGACUCCCAAGAGGAUCCAAGCCUUCAAAUCCAGGUUCAAACAGGUAACUGAAGAUUUACAUCUGUAAAUCUGGAUGGGAACUGAAUUCCUACAUCAUAGACAGUUUCAAGGAGGGAAGGAUUAUGUGUUCAGGAAAUACUCUGCAUUCUCAAAACUCUACAUUGUUGGUGCUUAGAUUUGCUCUGUGAGAACCUACUGAAAUAAACCUUUUCUCUGGAAG
RNAcentral lists this long non-coding RNA (522 nucleotides) under Homo sapiens (human). RNAcentral describes it as "HSALNT0248745". Lineage: Eukaryota; Metazoa; Chordata; Mammalia; Primates; Hominidae. The record is from RNAcentral.